CAAGGUCGCGAGUCUCCACGCCGCGCUUGACCUGGCGGCAGCACCGUACUUGACAGCGUAUUGUCGCCAACACCACCCCACCAGCAUCCCGGCCGAGCGCUGCUCCCGCAAACUUUCUAGACGAACGAGCCGCAUUUCUGUCCCGGACCAGCCCCGCACCCGAGACCCCAUCAGCUGCCUCGCUUUUAAAACUUUCGUGCGGCGAAGAGUGUUCUAAGA
Molecule: long non-coding RNA, 219 nt
Organism: Aethalodelphis obliquidens (Pacific white-sided dolphin)
Lineage: Eukaryota; Metazoa; Chordata; Mammalia; Artiodactyla; Delphinidae
Exons: 2
Source: RefSeq, a predicted model, not a curated record